AGUGAACGCUGGCGGUAGGCCUAACACAUGCAAGUCGAACGGCAGCACAGUAAGAGCUUGCUCUUACGGGUGGCGAGUGGCGGACGGGUGAGGAAUACAUCGGAAUCUACUUUUUCGUGGGGGAUAACGUAGGGAAACUUACGCUAAUACCGCAUACGACCUACGGGUGAAAGCAGGGGAUCCUCGGACCUUGCGCGAUUGAAUGAGCCGAUGUCGGAUUAGCUAGUUGGCGGGGUAAAGGCCCACCAAGGCGACGAUCCGUAGCUGGUCUGAGAGGAUGAUCAGCCACACUGGAACUGAGACACGGUCCAGACUCCUACGGGAGGCAGCAGUGGGGAAUAUUGGACAAUGGGCGCAAGCCUGAUCCAGCCAUACCGCGUGGGUGAAGAAGGCCUUCGGGUUGUAAAGCCCUUUUGUUGGGAAAGAAAAGCAGCAGGUUAAUACCCCGCUGUUCGGACGGUACCCAAAGAAUAAGCACCGGCUAACUUCG
RNAcentral lists this ribosomal RNA (490 nucleotides) under uncultured bacterium. RNAcentral's name for it is "partial 16S ribosomal RNA". It matches the Rfam family "Bacterial small subunit ribosomal RNA", at positions 29 to 505 of the family's 1533-position model. The record is from RNAcentral.